AGAACGAACGCUGGCGGCAUGCCUAAUACAUGCAAGUCGAACGAACACUUCGGUGUUAGUGGCGCACGGGUGCGUAACGCGUGGGAAUCUGCCCUUGGGUUCGGAAUAACAGUUGGAAACGACUGCUAAUACCGGAUGAUGACGAAAGUCCAAAGAUUUAUCGCCCAGGGAUGAGCCCGCGUAGGAUUAGCUAGUUGGUGAGGUAAAGGCUCACCAAGGCGACGAUCCUUAGCUGGUCUGAGAGGAUGAUCAGCCACACUGGGACUGAGACACGGCCCAGACUCCUACGGGAGCAGCAGUAGGGAAUAUUGGACAAUGGGCGCAAGCCUGAUCCAGCAAUGCCGCGUGAGUGAUGAAGGCCUUAGGGUGUAAGCUACUUUUACCCGAGUACUAG
This 394-nucleotide ribosomal RNA is filed under the name uncultured soil bacterium. Its description in RNAcentral is "bacterial SSU rRNA". It matches the Rfam family "Bacterial small subunit ribosomal RNA", at positions 26 to 450 of the family's 1533-position model. The record is from RNAcentral.